RNAcentral lists this transfer RNA (90 nucleotides) under Patescibacteria group bacterium. RNAcentral's name for it is "tRNA-Ser". It matches the Rfam family "tRNA". Rfam says of the family: Transfer RNA (tRNA) molecules are approximately 80 nucleotides in length. Their secondary structure includes four short double-helical elements and three loops (D, anti-codon, and T loops). Further hydrogen bonds mediate the characteristic L-shaped molecular structure. tRNAs have two regions of fundamental functional importance: the anti-codon, which is responsible for specific mRNA codon recognition, and the 3' end, to which the tRNAs corresponding amino acid is attached (by aminoacyl-tRNA synthetases). tRNAs cope with the degeneracy of the genetic code in two manners: having more than one tRNA (with a specific anti-codon) for a particular amino acid; and 'wobble' base-pairing, i.e. permitting non-standard base-pairing at the 3rd anti-codon position. The record is from RNAcentral.
GGAGAGGUGACAGAGUGGUCGAAUGUACCGGACUUGAAAUCCGGCGUAGCCGCAAGGUUACCGCGGGUUCGAAUCCCGCCCUCUCCGCCA